AUGUUCAAGCCAAACUCCGCGCCGAGGCCGACACUCUCAAGCUCUGCAACAAGGUGUUCCUGGAGUCGCGAGAGGCCGUCCGGGUAUACCUCUUGCUUCUUUAUUUUUAGUUCUUGCAUUGCUUCAUGGGGGCGCGCCAGCGCAUCCACUGGGUGUAGUCCUCGAGUUGCGGGCCGGCUGCUGAGCAAGCGGCCCGAAACUCUAAUUAGCGAGCUCCAAGCACUAAUAUGUUUGCUGCAGGAUUAUCAUAACCUCCUUGCGGCCGCCUUCAACUCCAGAGUUCAGGAGUUGGAUCAACAUGCCACCGACUUGUCGGAGAGCCGGAAGGUCAAUGCCACCCUUCAACGGCAACUGGGCGAAGCCAACGCCGCGCUUCAUGCCAAGGAGGUGGACUACGGCAAGCUGGCCGAAGAGCACGACCGGCUGAUCGCGCGACUGGCGGAGCAGGCCGAGCUUCUCCAAAGGGCCCAGAAGGAGGCGAAGGACAAGGAGGCGGGUCUUCUUGCUGAGUUCGAGAUCGAGCGCUCCGCCUGGACCGACAAGGAGGCGAUGCUACCGGCCGGCUUUGGCGAGAUCGAGGACAUGGCCGACACUUCUUCCCAGGUCAUUUUGGUGCCGCCAACCAGGCUAUCGAGGCCGACCGCGAUGGACGAAGGGUAG
RNAcentral lists this ribosomal RNA (660 nucleotides) under Triticum aestivum (bread wheat). RNAcentral's name for it is "partial small subunit ribosomal RNA". The record is from RNAcentral. Lineage: Eukaryota; Viridiplantae; Streptophyta; Magnoliopsida; Poales; Poaceae.